AUUUACUUGCGGUGUUGGUUUCAGGUAUCUAUUUCUCUAAAAAAGAGAUGAAAGGAAAAGAGUUCUUUAAAGGAGAUGGUUCGGUUCCUUGGUAUGUU
RNAcentral lists this transfer RNA (98 nucleotides) under Streptococcus pneumoniae. RNAcentral describes it as "tRNA-Phe(aaa)". Lineage: Bacteria; Bacillati; Bacillota; Bacilli; Lactobacillales; Streptococcaceae. The record is from RNAcentral.